RNAcentral lists this Y RNA (98 nucleotides) under Propithecus coquereli (Coquerel's sifaka). Its description in RNAcentral is "Y RNA (ENSPCOG00000002764.1)". It matches the Rfam family "Y RNA". From Rfam's summary of the family: Y RNAs are components of the Ro ribonucleoprotein particle (Ro RNP), in association with Ro60 and La proteins. The Y RNAs and Ro60 and La proteins are well conserved, but the function of the Ro RNP is not known. The record is from Rfam by way of RNAcentral. Lineage: Eukaryota; Metazoa; Chordata; Mammalia; Primates; Indriidae.
GGCUGGUCCGAUGGUAGUGGGUUGAUUCAGAACUUAUUAAUAUCAGUGUCACUAAAGUUGGUAUACUACCUGACACUGCUAAACUUGACUGGCUUAAA